This 460-nucleotide ribosomal RNA is filed under the name uncultured bacterium. RNAcentral describes it as "partial 16S ribosomal RNA". It matches the Rfam family "Bacterial small subunit ribosomal RNA", at positions 338 to 795 of the family's 1533-position model. The record is from RNAcentral.
CCUACGGGAGGCAGCAGUGAGGAAUAUUGGUCAAUGGACGCGAGUCUGAACCAGCCAAGUAGCGUGAAGGAUGACUGCCCUAUGGGUUGUAAACUUCUUUUAUAAAGGAAUAAAGCCUGGCACUUGUGCCUUUUUGCAUGUACUUUAUGAAUAAGGAUCGGCUAACUACGGGCCAGCAGCCGCGGUAAUACGGAGGAUACGGGCGUUAUCCGGAUUUAUUGGGUUUAAAGGGAGCGUAGGUGGGUUGGUAAGACAGUUGUGAAAGUUUGGGGCUCAACCGGAGAAUGGCAAUUGAUACUGGCAGUCUUGAGUACGGGUGAGGUAGGGGGAAUUCGUGGUGUAGCGGUGAAAUGCUUAGAUAUCGCGAAGAACCCCGAUUGCGAAGGCAGCUUACUAGACUGUGACUGACAUUGAUGCUCGAAAGUGUGGGUAUCAAACAGGAUUAGAUACCCGAGUAGUC